RNAcentral lists this ribosomal RNA (494 nucleotides) under uncultured bacterium. RNAcentral describes it as "partial 16S ribosomal RNA". It matches the Rfam family "Bacterial small subunit ribosomal RNA", at positions 28 to 507 of the family's 1533-position model. The record is from RNAcentral.
GACGAACGCUGGCGGCGUGCUUGACACAUGCAAGUCGAACGGAAAGGCCUGCUUUCCCUUGUGGAUUGCGGGUACUCGAGUGGCGAACGGGUGAGUAACACGUGAGUGAUCUGCCCCCAACUUGGGUAUAAGCCUGGGAAACUGGGUCUAAUUCCCGAUAGGACUGCAGGGUGGUGCCUGUGGUGGAAAACGAUUUUCUAGUGGUUGGGGAUGAGCUCGCGGCCUAUCAGCUUGUUGGUGGGGUAAUGGCCUACCAAGGCGGCGACGGGUAGCCGGCCUGAGAGGGUGGACGGCCACAGUGGGACUGAGAUACGGCCCAGACUCCUACGGGAGGCAGCAGUGGGGAAUAUUGCACAAUGGGCGGAAGCCUGAUGCAGCGACGCCGCGUGGGGGAUGACGGCCUUCGGGUUGUAAACUCCUUUCGACCGCGAGGAAGCCACCUGGUUGGAAGGGUGGUGACGGUAGUGGUAGAAGAAGCACCGGCUAACUACGUG